UACGUAGGGUGCAGGCGUUAAUCGGAAUUACUGGGCGUAAAGAGCGUGUAGGCGGUUCGGUAAGUCUGCCGUGAAAACCAGGGGCUCAACCCCGGGCGUGCGGUGGAUACUGCCGGGCUAGAGGGUGGUAGAGGCGAGUGGAAUUCCCGGUGUAGCGGUGAAAUGCGCAGAUAUCAGGAAGAACACCCGUGGCGAAGGCGGCUCUCUGGGACGGUACUGACGCUGAGACGCGAAAGCGUGGGGAGCGAACAGG
RNAcentral lists this ribosomal RNA (253 nucleotides) under uncultured bacterium. RNAcentral describes it as "partial 16S ribosomal RNA". It matches the Rfam family "Bacterial small subunit ribosomal RNA", at positions 524 to 776 of the family's 1533-position model. The record is from RNAcentral.